RNAcentral lists this ribosomal RNA (1256 nucleotides) under uncultured Acinetobacter sp. Its description in RNAcentral is "bacterial SSU rRNA". It matches the Rfam family "Bacterial small subunit ribosomal RNA", at positions 77 to 1328 of the family's 1533-position model. The record is from RNAcentral. Lineage: Bacteria; Pseudomonadati; Pseudomonadota; Gammaproteobacteria; Moraxellales; Moraxellaceae.
AGCUUGCUACCUGACCUAGCGGCGGACGGGUGAGUAAUGCUUAGGAAUCUGCCUAUUAGUGGGGGACAACAUUCCGAAAGGAAUGCUAAUACCGCAUACGCCCUACGGGGGAAAGCAGGGGAUCUUCGGACCUUGCGCUAAUAGAUGAGCCUAAGUCAGAUUAGCUAGUUGGUGGGGUAAAGGCCUACCAAGGCGACGAUCUGUAGCGGGUCUGAGAGGAUGAUCCGCCACACUGGGACUGAGACACGGCCCAGACUCCUACGGGAGGCAGCAGUGGGGAAUAUUGGACAAUGGGCGAAAGCCUGAUCCAGCCAUGCCGCGUGUGUGAAGAAGGCCUUUUGGUUGUAAAGCACUUUAAGCGAGGAGGAGGCUACUUGGAUUAAUACUCUAGGAUAGUGGACGUUACUCGCAGAAUAAGCACCGGCUAACUCUGUGCCAGCAGCCGCGGUAAUACAGAGGGUGCGAGCGUUAAUCGGAUUUACUGGGCGUAAAGCGUGCGUAGGCGGCUUUUUAAGUCGGAUGUGAAAUCCCUGAGCUUAACUUAGGAAUUGCAUUCGAUACUGGGAAGCUAGAGUAUGGGAGAGGAUGGUAGAAUUCCAGGUGUAGCGGUGAAAUGCGUAGAGAUCUGGAGGAAUACCGAUGGCGAAGGCAGCCAUCUGGCCUAAUACUGACGCUGAGAUACGAAAGCAUGGGGAGCAAACAGGAUUAGAUACCCUGGUAGUCCAUGCCGUAAACGAUGUCUACUAGCCGUUGGGGCCUUUGAGGCUUUAGUGGCGCAGCUAACGCGAUAAGUAGACCGCCUGGGGAGUACGGUCGCAAGACUAAAACUCAAAUGAAUUGACGGGGGCCCGCACAAGCGGUGGAGCAUGUGGUUUAAUUCGAUGCAACGCGAAGAACCUUACCUGGUCUUGACAUAGUAAGAACUUUCCAGAGAUGGAUUGGUGCCUUCGGGAACUUACAUACAGGUGCUGCAUGGCUGUCGUCAGCUCGUGUCGUGAGAUGUUGGGUUAAGUCCCGCAACGAGCGCAACCCUUUUCCUUAUUUGCCAGCGGGUUAAGCCGGGAACUUUAAGGAUACUGCCAGUGACAAACUGGAGGAAGGCGGGGACGACGUCAAGUCAUCAUGGCCCUUACGACCAGGGCUACACACGUGCUACAAUGGUCGGUACAAAGGGUUGCUACCUAGCGAUAGGAUGCUAAUCUCAAAAAGCCGAUCGUAGUCCGGAUUGGAGUCUGCAACUCGACUCCAUGAAGUCG